CGUGAAGCCCCCCUCAAGAUGAGAUAUCCCAUAACGUCAAGUUAGUAAGACCCCUUGAAGACGACGAGGUAGAUAGGGCAGAGGUGGAAGUGUGGCAACACAUGGAGCUGACUGUUACUAAUAGGUCGAGGGCAUAACCAA
This 141-nucleotide non-coding RNA is filed under the name Mediterraneibacter torques. RNAcentral's name for it is "partial 23S ribosomal RNA". It matches the Rfam family "Bacterial large subunit ribosomal RNA", at positions 2786 to 2925 of the family's 2925-position model. The record is from RNAcentral. Lineage: Bacteria; Bacillati; Bacillota; Clostridia; Lachnospirales; Lachnospiraceae. RNAcentral also lists the same sequence under 1 other name.